UACGUAGGGUGCGAGCGUUAAUCGGAAUUACUGGGCGUAAAGCGUGCGCAGGCGGUUCGUUAAGUCAGAUGUGAAAGCCCCGGGCUCAACCUGGGAACUGCAUUUGAAACUGGCGGGCUUGAGUAUGGCAGAGGGGGGUGGAAUUCCGCGUGUAGCAGUGAAAUGCGUAGAGAUGCGGAGGAACACCGAUGGCGAAGGCAGCCCCCUGGGCCAAUACUGACGCUCAUGCACGAAAGCGUGGGGAGCAAACAGG
This 253-nucleotide ribosomal RNA is filed under the name uncultured bacterium. RNAcentral's name for it is "partial 16S ribosomal RNA". It matches the Rfam family "Bacterial small subunit ribosomal RNA", at positions 524 to 776 of the family's 1533-position model. The record is from RNAcentral.